CAGUGGUUCGUGUUGCUUUUACAGCAGCGUUUGGCAAUUUGGUUUUUCGCAUUGUCUUGCUUGACUCUCCAGAUAGGAUUAGCAUGCUAAAAGUUCAGUUUCUUUUUGGAUGUAUUUGGACGUCAUCUUUAUUCCCAGCAGUAAAAUGGGUUGAGUUGUUGAUCUCAGAGCUUCAGGCCUGCAAGAUGGAUCAGCUUGAUGCAUGAAUAUGAGGCUAAAAAGUUUAGGAUGGAUGAGCUGCUGUUAAGGGGCGUUAAUAAACUGCUCCCAGCAGUGAUUGUAAAGAACAAGAACAGAGAUUAGCUUAAUAUAUGUUGCAACAAGGGGGAAGCUAGCUGCUGGAAUCAUAGCCUAGUCCUCAGGAUGUUUAUAUAUUGCUCCCAGCAGUGGUACUCAAGAUUCGGCGUGACAUAUGUUCAGCAAGGAAGAAGUUAGCUGCUGGAAUCAUGGCCUAAUUUCCAGGCAGAAGGUUCAAACCUUAUCAGAUCUAGAAGAAAUGCAUCAACUGGUGAUGAGGUUAUUUGUGGUGGCUUGUUUGGUUUUGUUGAAGCCUCAAGAAACUCGUGGAUUAAAGACUCAUAGUCAAUGCAAUAAGCAACAAGCUUGUGUGGCAUUGAGUAUUUGCAUGUUCAUCAAGAGAGCUCCCCUUGAUUUCAUCUGAUACAUAUUGUCAGUGAUAAAGCAUGACUGGUUUGAAGUGAGCAUGGAAAAUUUCUGGAGAAAAAUGCUGCUGUUAAGGAAGCUGCGGUGGAAACACAGCCUAGUCCCUAGUGAAGUCGCCAAAAAUGUAGGGGGCACUUUGAUCGGAGUUGUACGGCAGUGGAUAUUCAUGGGUAAGGACCCAAAACUUUG
This is a long non-coding RNA of Rosa rugosa (rugosa rose), 852 nucleotides long. RefSeq lists it as uncharacterized. The transcript has 6 exons. NCBI's taxonomy places the organism in Eukaryota, Viridiplantae, Streptophyta, Magnoliopsida, Rosales, Rosaceae. The record is from RefSeq and is a predicted model, not a curated record.